Molecule: long non-coding RNA, 21607 nt
Filed under: Panicum hallii
Lineage: Eukaryota; Viridiplantae; Streptophyta; Magnoliopsida; Poales; Poaceae
Description: long non-coding RNA (PHAL_LNC000258)
Source: RNAcentral
UAAUCGUAACCCGCACUUUAAGUUUAAAAAAUAACGAAAUUUAAGUUUGACGGAGUUACAAAUUCUUGCCAACAUGUUCAUACAGUAUAGUACUAAUCCUAGACUUCAGAAGCCUGAUGGUACUUCUAGAACGUAACCCUGCUAUCUAGUCUACAGGGAUGUUCCAUUCUCAAUGGAGUUAAUCAGACAAACCCAUCAAGGGCAUUAGAACGACGGACGCCCUUUUGAGUCCGACGACGAAUUGAAGUGGCUUGACCUUUUUCUUCCAAGGGUCUUCCAUGUGAAACUGUUUCCCUUCUGUAAACCACUGGUGAUGACUUCAUCUUCCCCAUCAUCUUCAGUCUCCUCUUUGCUGUAUGAUGACACUCCAGCCCUUCCUUUGUCAGGUGUCCACGACGGGUUGCUUGCACCAUCUGCGCUGUUCUCCAGAGAUCUAGGCCUCUUCCUCCUUUCACUAAAAUCCACUUCUGGUAUGUCAGGUAAAAUAGAGGUCCUCUUCGCUCUUGGAGUAAUCUUUGGAAUAUCCUCAAAUCCUUCAUCAGAUUUCAUCCACUGAUCACCAAAAGAGUCUGAAUAGACAACCUCCUUCCUUCGCCUCUUUGAACCAACUGAAAUAUUCUGGAAUUCAUCUGCCACGGUCCUCUUGGUUGUGGUUUCAUUAUUGGCAAACACCCAAUCUGGAACCUCAUUUCCGUCCAUAAGUCUAGAUUUGUAGUUUUCUCUUUGCCUCCUUUCCUCAUCCAUCUUCUCGAACAACCAGAACUCUUCAUCAUUUCGAGCAGCCAAACGAUUUAUCUCACGCUCACUGGGGAUAUCAGUUCCCAGUGAACUUGUGCCUCUCCUGAGGAUCUCCUGCAACAAUGCUCGCCUGUCCUGUGCUGUAGUGGGAAUGAACAUGAAAAUAUAUCAUAAAUUACAAUACAAUGUUUACAUGAAGAAAGGAACUGGAGUGUUCAAACUCACCAGUGGAAGUUGUGUUAAACAGGCCAGCCUGGAUAACUUUUGCAUCAAUACCCAUCUUCUGUUUUGCGCGGUCCAAGAUCUCUUCUUCAAUUGAACCAACACUAACAAGAACAAAUACACGCACUUCAUUCUUUUGUCCAAUACGAUGGGCACGGUCUUCAGCCUGCUGGUCCAUUUGAGGGUUCCAGUCACUAUCAAAGAUAAUGACAGUGUCUGCAGUCUGCAAGUUUAAUCCAAGGCCUCCGGCACGUGUGCUGAGGAGGAACAUGAAAUAUUCUGAAUCCUUCUUAUUAAAAUCUGCCAGUAACCUUCCUCGUUCUUCAGUCUUCGUGGAUCCAUCAAGCCUCAUGUACUUGAAAUUGUACAUUUGCAAAUACACUUCUAAAACGUCAAGCAGUUUUGUCAUCUGAGAGAAAAGCAGAACCCUAUGGCCAGCUCUCUGCAGUUUCGGAAGUAGACGAUCAAGCAAUUCAAACUUUCCUGAUGCUCUAACAAUUUCCUCCCGCUGAUACAUGUUAUAAUGCUCUACAAAUAGGUAAGGAUGGUUGCAACACUUCCUAAGCUGCAUUGACAGAUUUUGCAGAGCCUUUGAUCUGAGCCCUGCACGCAUGAGCAUGAACAAGUAAUGAGCACAUUACUCACGCAAAACACAUGGAAAAUUAAAAUGGAACUGCAAGUGUGAUACAACAUGAAGAUUAUGUACUAAAUCAACUAGCAACACAGACAUAUCCAAAUUUGCACCAGCGUUAUAAUUGCUUUAUGCACUGCUCCAUCAAGAUCAGGUGAAAAAUUAAAAAUCUUAUUUCGCUCAGAAAUAUAUUUUCAUGGGGGGAAGGAUUAGUAGUACAAGGGCAUACCAGAUCCUAGCGCAACCCUUUCCCUGCUUGUGACUUGUUCGUAGUAUGCUUUUUGCCAAGCAGACAUGUCACACUUGAGAAUUACUUGUGUUUUCACAGGGAGAUAUUUUUCCACUUCAUCUUUCUUCCUCCUCAGCAAAAAUGGACGCAAAACCUGGGUAAAAACAAAGGAUGCAAUGAAUAAAUUUAAAUGUUCCCCCAAUAUCAAUUUAAUUUUUCACACACUUUAUGUGCUGCCACCUCACCAGAUCUUGACCAAAAAGAUGAUGAUGCAAGUGGAGGAUCACGUGGCAACAUGUAUGGAGUUAAAAGAACUGAAUGACUGGAGGGAAUGAAUAGGGGGCAGCACUACUCACUUGAUGUAAACGAUGUAUGAUUAGUAGUUGUUCCUCGUCAUUAAGGCUGACAUCACAUGCAAAUGGUGCAUUGAACCAUUCCUCAAAAUUCUGGGAUGAAUUAAAAAUAUUGGGCAGAAUAAAGUUUAGCAAAGACCACAGUUCUUGUAGGCUGUUUUGGAUUGGAGUGCCAGUUAAAAGUAGCCUGCGGCGGAUCUGAUAGCUGUAAAUAAAGUAUCAGCAAUAUGUAAGCAUAAUUUUCAAAAGGUCCAGAUAAAUUAAUUUACUAUCAUUACGAAAAAAACAAAUAGGUCAAUGGCCAUCACUAAAUAAUGAACAAGGUUGACACAUGAAUGGCAAAAUGGAAGUAGGCAACUAUCCAUGGAAAGAAAAUGGUACUCAAAUAUGAUGGAAAGCAGGUGUCUCAAUCUACUACUACAAAAACUUUGUAAGUUAUAUUUGGUAAAUUUCGUAUAGUACCAAACUAAUUUAAUGAUUAGCAAUAAAGCUAGUGAUAAAAUCAUUGCAUUUACAUAAAGUAUCAUAACAAUUUAAUCAAUUUAGCCAUUUAGCCAUUUUUUGGACCAACAAUUUAAUCAAUUAUAAGCUGGCUCUAAACACUAUCCAAUCAAUACAAUGACUUAUUCACUCAGCUACCGCCUUCUUCAGGAAAGGCAGAAGGUAUGCCUAUGUGAUAAACCACAAAGACAAGAUGUUUGAGAUCCAUCUGUGAAAUGAUACAAGGUGCAGACCCAUUAUGACGACAUAUGAGAAAAAGUUAUGUGUAACUGGCUGAGAAAACUAGUUUAAUGAUUGUUAUCGCAAGGUUACGAGACCUGGCACUAAAUAUGAAAUUUGAAGUUCUUCACAUUUUCAGUGGCUGGUAUGUCAAGUGGUUUAUAGGCCAAUGUGUCAACGAUCAAAAAGACAUUACAGGUAACCAGAGCCAUCCCCAGAUAAUAAUUGAGUGGCACAUGUCAACCAAAGCUACACAGUAGCAAAAUUAUGAAUAAAGAUUUUACCCGGAAACUAGUGUGCGAGCAAGAGCACAUUCAUGGUUUUUCAGACGAUGUCCUUCAUCAACUAUCAAAUAAUGCCAGUGAACCUUCUUUAGGAACUUCUUAUCUUUCAGUAUCAAAUCAUAAUGCGUGAGCAAAACAUUAAAUUGCAGUCCAUGUACAUCAAAAUUCUUAUCCCUUAGAGCCCUCCGCUCAUCUGGACGACCAUCAUACAGAAUUGUCGCAAUGCUGCAACAGACAAGCAUGUUGCAUUAGGGUGGCUUUGAUACAAAGUAGAAUGGAAAAUGCAUCACGAAUUUUGAUGAUACAGACUCCAAUGAAACAAUACCUGGGAGCCCAAGUUUUGAAUUCAUUCGACCAAUUUGGUAAUACUGCUUUUGGAGCAAUUAUUAAGUGUGGCCCUGGGACCUCUUUCUUUUCCAACAGAUAAGCAAUCAAAGCUAUGGUCUGAAUUGUCUUUCCCAGACCCAUUUCAUCAGCCAGAAUCCCAUUCAAAUUGUUGUUAAAUAAAGAAAGCAUCCAUUGGAGACCCUCUAGUUGAUAUGGCCUUAAUUCCCCACCUUCGAGAGCUGAUGGUUGUUCUGUUACCUGUAAAUGCAAAGAACAGAGAGAAACAUUAGAUUUACUAGAAUUACCCAGAAUCACAUAUUGUACUAUGGGUUUGCAAAAUAAAAGGACGAUGUCAAAUUAACGAAUACAAGAUUAGCCACAACAUUAGUCUGAAUUCCAAUGAAAAACAUAUCUGGAAUCAAUUAGCAAUUGUCGUUUUUUAUUUUUAUACCUUUGAAAGUAUUAUAUUAGUUUUACAACUAGAAAGAAACAGUCAAAAUCAUUUAAUGCAAAACAAAAAUAUUAGUCCCCCAUAUAAUAUACCACAAUUACAAGAGAUUGAAUAAGGAGGUAAUAGUUCCCCGUAUAAUUUAUUUAAAUCCGCGCAUUAUCUACUACUAGUAGCAAUGCUCUCCCUUGCUAUUUUCCCAAAAUAACAGUACCUACCAUCAUUUAAGAUCCAAAUUAAGUACAUUGCCAGCGAACACAUAAGUUGUUUAAUAAUUAUGGCCAACACUCUCACGGUGCAACUGGUCAGCCGAACACGCCAGAGAAGCGAUUCGCUGAGCCAGCCUGGGUUCGAGUCACAGCACAAGCUUCUUAAGAUGAAAAUCAGGGGGACGUCUCUCCCCCUGGUCGAGUUUUUUUUUUUCUUAAUAAUUAUGGCUAUGAAUAUGAUGAUCAAUAAAUCUGCGUGCAUCGUAAACUUUGGGUGCCAAUACACCCAGCAUGGCACAGAAAAAGUUCAAUAAAUGGAUAGUGAAACUUUGUUCUACCUUCUCUUCAAUUGAAUGGACAGUAAAAUCAAGUCUACGCCCUGCAUUGAAUUUAUUUUCAUCUGCAGAACCAGGAAGUUCUGCAUCAUCAUCUGAAGGAGACUCCUCAGGUGAUUCAUUCUUGAUGUCUGAGAUUUGUGAAUCAGAUUCGGACUCUUUUGGUACUUCAUUUCCUUCUGGCUGACUAACGUGCUCCGCAUCUUUUUGUCGCUGUACAGCUUUCCCAAUUCCUUCAAGAAGUUCAUUUGUUUUGUCAAGGAGCAUUUUCAGGCGUUCAUUCUUGCUCUCCUCAACCAUCCUCAUAUAUGCUUCCUGAUCACCGAUUUUCAGAAGAUUCAAUCUAUUUUUCUCCUGCCGUGAGAUACGUUGACGUGCCCGAACAUGCCAUGCCUACAUUUAGCAAGUAAAAGGGCUCUUAAGUGCUAUUGCACAUCUAGAACAUGAGUAUCUCUAGGAUAAAAUCAUAUUACAAAAUAGUAAUGGCAUUUACUCUGAAAGGAAAUGCAAUCAUGUGCUAACAAAUAGAAAAAAAAACAGUGCACUAUUUUCUAAAUACUUCACUUCUCUUCUCCAAAUUGGAAUAUAUGUUGCAUCAAAAUCUUCACCUUUCGUAAUCUCAAGGAGCAUAAAAAUAUUGUUGAAAUGCAAUCAUAGUUUACUCUGCCACCAUUUCAGAUGGAUGAACAGAUAGGGUCCUAAAUCAUACCUGAACUCCAUCAUUCCGCUGCUUUCUUUGUUUGAAUGUAGUUGCUAAUUGCACCUGGUGUUCCCUAGAAGCAUUGAGAAUUUCUGUAAAAAACUUCCUCUUCCUUAUAUCUGCCUGAAUUUUUUCUUCCUCUUCGAGUCUUGACAUCCUCUAAAGUUUGAAAGUACCAACAUUGUAAUCAUGAUUUGAGCUGUAUAUAAACUAGCAAACCUAAUUAUCAGAAGAUAUAUGACACAAACCUCUGUGAAUCUCUUUUUGCGGUGAACAUCAUCAGCAUCCAUUAAAAAGCUAUCUCCUAUCCCAUACAUGGCAAAAGGAUAUCGUAUCCGCAUCAUCCCCCAGUCAAACAGUUGCCUUUCAGGAUAUGCACAUUUCUUGUGUAGCCAAUAUUCUGCGCUGAUAUCGGACCGCACUUUCUUCUGUAAGUCUAACAACUGCACAAGUAUAUGAACAAUCAGCAAGGAUUGCUACGACAAAUCACUGCUGACUAUACUUCUAAAUAUAGACACAUGAAAGUCAUAUGUGGUAGUUUCAAAUAGAUAUGGUGUGUAACAAAUAGAUAAUAGCUAAUAUCUCAACCGCUGCUGGACAAGCUUUUGUACAAUUUGUGCUGCCCCUACAUAUAACAUAUAUCGUAAUUUCGCACUCUAUGCUAUCUUGACCACAAAUCCAUCGCAAUUAGCAACGCACACACACACACACACACAUCUCAGCAAUACUUAAGUGCUGGGACAUGUCGCCUUUAAGAAGCCAGCAAUUUGGACCGUAGAACAUCUAAUCAAGGAUUUUGUAUGUAUGCAGGAAAAAUCUAUGAACAUGCAAUAUUAAUUAUAUUAUAAAAUUGUAUGAUAGAAAAUGAAUAAUGGAAGCACAGUGGUAACCAAUAUCUGCACAAAGAGGCUAAAAGGAAACCAUAUCAAAUGAGCAACCACCGAGGAGAGAGUAAGGACAGCGAAGUAGCCUAUGCUUCUAGUCUUCUAGAUAAGACGGUUACCUUUAGCCCGUACAAUUCAAGCAAACACUUCAUUUGCAAGUCUUCACCCCUAGUAGAAGGUAACCCUGGCACAAAAAAAAAAGAAAUAAGUGAUGAUGCUGUAACGGGUAAAAAUAACAAUGAUCAAACAACUAAGCAACUCUUUAAAUAAGUCAAGCAGUAACGAAGCUCUAGUGGCAGCUGCCAGGAAAUUAAAUGCAAGCACAUGCAAACUAUAUCUGGCGAAUGCUCAACAUUCGGUAACAAGUGAAUCUGUUGCACAAUCAAACACAAAAAAGUCAUUCCAAAUUUGCUGCUUUUUCCACCUUUCAAUUCCGCAUUAAAUAUUUCCACCAUAAAUCAAACUGCGCAGUAGAGCCAAAAGAAAGCCUGGGCUCAGAUCAGGACAGGUUAAAUAACCGAAAGAAGGCCUGGGACCAAUGCCAGACCAAAGACAUCCAUAAGACUAGAGGUGCAGUUGACACAGGAGGCCAGAAACAUAAAUGGCCAAAUUGCCUGUAUAAAACUCCGCGCGAAUUGUUUUGCAGAGAUUCCACUCCCCAAGCACUUAUUACUUCUUUAGCACUAGGUUAUGUCCUGGACUCCUGUCUGAUCCAUUAGAUUGAACAUGGAUGGCUCAGAUCAUACAGAUUCUCUUACCGUUAGUUGGAUUCUUCUACAGUUAGCUGCCAUCAACUCCCUCCCUCAUCUACCAUUGUUCCAUCAGAUAACAUGGACGGUUCAGAUCAUACAUGGACUCUCCUACUGUUAGUUGCCGUCAACUCCCUCCCUCCCUCCCUCCCUCCCUCUCUACCUACCUCCCUCCCUGCCUGACACUCAAGGCCCCCGCCAUAAGCGUGUUCUUGCUAUCCCUGUCUUAUUUAUGCUGCUCAGAACUGGAAGGGAUUUGGCGGUGACCGUGAUGAGGUGGACUGCAGGCACAUGAUCAUCAGUGGCCAGAGAUGGCCGCCUCCGCUAUCAUUGGAGACAAACAAGGAGUUUACUGGAGAUGAUGGAGUGCUACACAGCGCAAAAAUGGGGAUGAAAUGAGUGCUAAAUAGUAAUUAAGGCUUUGGGAGUGGUACAUUUGCAGAUCAGGUUUGGGAAUGCUUACAUGCUUUUUGACCCACAAAAUUAUCCAGUCAACACAACCAGAUUUGUAAGACCAUGAAAACUAAACCGGGAAGGGAAAAAUCAAAAACUUGUUCAAAACAAUGCAAACCAAGGAACCAGUCAGCAAAUGAAGUACAAAAAAUGAGUCCCUCUAAGAAGACCUUCGAGUUCAGCUAGCCGAUGCUGGAUGGAUGCAUUGAACCGUCCUUCCUUCAGAGCAGCCAAUUCUGAGUAGGAUACGGGCAUUCUUUGAUUCUUAAAUAUCGCAUCUUCAAGCUCUUCAAUCAAGGUAGCACCCUGUAAGGUAACAGCUUUACUCAGUCAAAAAAUAAGAGAAGAUCAUUCAACAGCUAAAUAGCAAGUACUUCACAACAAACAAAAUCAAAAGGAGGUAAAGAAAUGAGCACUUCACCAAAUUAUCAUGAUAACAAUAUAAUGAUUUACAACUAAAUCACAAACAGUAUAUUAUUAGCAAGCACCUCAACACAUAACAAAGAUAAGAAACUUUUAUAAUUGUUUCAGUGGAUAGUCAAAUUUCAAAGAAUAUUUUUUUUAUCACACAAAAUUUUGCUCUGCUGGAAACUGGAUGAAUCAAACCAAAUUACCAAGGCAAACCAGUGCUUAAUGCACUCAACAAACAGCCCUAGACAAACUUCAUCGAAAGCAUAGGGUCAUUACAAAUCACACCCUAGCCACUCAGUUUGCAUACAGUUGUGUAAUUUAUGCAUUUCAUAAAUCUGUGCCAAAAGGGGAAAAAAUGAAAGAGAAACCUGCCCUGCUUGAGUACGUAUCACACCACCCAAGAGAACAAAAAAUCACAUAUCGCGCUUACUUUAGCAUGCAUACACAAAACAAACCAUAUCAUCUUAGCAAAGAAGAAAAAUUAAAUAUAUGACAAAGGCUCUAGAAAAAUUCUGUAUUUUCUGGAGCAAGCAAUACAUUGCUGAUCCUAACAGAGCAUCAGAGGUCAGUAGAAUUUCAACAGGAAAAUUUAAAUGCUCAAUCGUACUCAUAAUUAUCCAACAUAGUCAUCCCAUCUGGGUUCAAAACAGCCAAAUCUAUCAGCAGCUUUGUUCGCUCCAGCAUAAACAAGCAAAUAUGUCCUGACAAACUAUUUCACAUUUUCACCUAAUGAAUACCAGUACUGCACCCAACAGAGACAUCUGGCCACAACACAAACCAUGAAAGCAUUAUAAUACUCAAAGGGAAACAGCCAAUUGCACGCAAAAACAUCACUGCAAGUGCAGCCCAUAAUCCCCAGCAGGAAGCACGCUCCAAUCUAGGAAGACUAGCGAAAGUCAAGCUAAAUCACGUCGAAUUCCACAGACCCUAAGCGAAUCUCGUAACAAGCAGGCCCCCAACACCUCGGCACGAAUCCAACACGCAGUCCCGGGAGCACUCGCCAGAGGGGAAAUCGCCGUACAAACCGAAGAACCACCGGAACGCACCUCGGCAGCACCGUCAUCGGCGCCCUCCGCGCAGCCCUCCUCCGCGGCAUCCGCAGCCGCCAUCUCCUCAUCCCCUUCCUUCUCCGCCUCCCCCACCUCCCCCUCCCCGUCACCGGCACCCCCGUCGUGGUAGAUGGACGAGACGGCGCGCAGGACGUCGGGGGGAAGCGGGAGGUUACGGGAGAGCAGGUUGAGCGCGCCGAUGAGCGUCCUGGCCUGCUCCACCGCGCCCCCGGCCUCGUCUACGGCGGAGGACGACGCGGGUGGCGCCACCGCCACCGCCGCGUCCACGGACGCCGCCAUCGCUAGGGUUUCGCCCCGCGACGCCUCCGCGGGGCGAGACGGCGCCGGCUCCUCCCCCGGCGGGUUCGAAUCGGCGCGCGGCAACGGUCUGCUGGGUUUUGAGCGGGGUUUGAUGGGGUGUUUUCGCGCCGGCCUGUGUCAGGGGAAGCCGAAGCUUCGAUCGAUCGGGGGGGAGGCGGGCGCCGUGCGGAUGGCUGGGCAGCGGAUGGGGAAUUUUGGUGGUUUUUUUCUUUUUUUAACUGCGUUCGGGCUCGGGGUGUAUAUAUUGGAUCGGGCUGGGCGUGGGCGGGUGGGAUCCGAUUUCGCGGUUGGUGUGCGUUGGUGUUGUAUGGGGUGGGCCUGGGCCCUGGGCCGAGCAGGCCAGCCUGUAUAUGAACUUGACCGUACUCAGCCUGCAAGAGAGGGCUUGGCAUAUUUUUAAAUUCUAAAUGCAUUUUGCUUGGUUUAUGCAAAAUUAAUCAAGAAUAGUGACCAACUUCAGCUUCAAAAAUGCAUUUAUAAUUUAGAAAUAUGCAAUCUAUGACUUUCUCAUGGCCGAAUCAAGUUGCAAGUAAAAAUACAAAUCAUAUUUAAGAAAUGUUCGAUUCUCGGAUCUUGGACGGGAGGAGUACAUGCAUAAGGAUAACUCUAAAAUAAAACUUUUCAAGCAUUAUGGAAUUCGCCGCUUAUGCAUGUUUCUAUCAGCAUCAAGGUUGUCAACGACUUUUUUUUAAAAAAAAAGACAUCAAGGUUGUCAUGCUCAACCCCUAAUCCUAGCCCUAUAGGGCCACUCCUCUCAUUUGGCAUUGUUUGCACAAACACGUCAUGAGAAUUGAGAAUCCAUCCAGCAUCAAUGAUGUGCUCCACACCGAAAAGGCACUUGCAUAGAGGCCCAAACUUGCGACCUCCUAGGACUAUCUCUGCUACUAAAAAGAGGCUAAGUAAGAUUUUUUUAGUUAGUCAUACUCCCUCGUACGUCGCCCCUCCCGAUCGGUUCAAAAAAGGCACGUCUCCCCCCUGCCCCCACGAUCACCGUUCCCUUCCCCCACCAGCCAUUCUUGUAUAAUAUAGUUGGCUUUUGCAGAUUCACGCUAAUUUUUAAGUUUUCAUAUAUUGUUAAGCAAAGGUUGAAUAUUCUUACAUUUACCAGGCAUACCUAAGUGGCUUGGUUCAUUAUGUUGGUUUUAUAAGUAAGAUGAUACGGUGGUGACUUAGCAUUGCCUAUAAAACACGAUAAUUGAUGCCUAAAUGAUUCAAAUAUUAUGUGUGAUAUCUGUAUAUUUUUCUAUCUUUGGAACUGAAUAAUUGAUUAUCAGUUAUAAAAGGCUGUUGUUUAAGGAGUGCAUUGCUAAUUAUGUUGGUCUUCCUAUUGAUUGUCAGUUUAGAAUCAUGAUAAGUUUAGUUGAUAUUACAUUUUAAAUCAGCUGUUUGAAUGAUCUCACGCCAAGUACAAAGUACAUUCUUCGAAAUAUAUUCAUUUUCUUUAUACAUUAUCUCAUUGAGGUCCUUUCCAUGGUAUUAUGAGAUUGAUAUUUGUUUUGCCCGUAGCAACACCCGGCCACGAACCUAGUUCCUACCCAGAUGAUCCUACCAAGACCGAUACGUGUAUACAUCUACCUUCUCCUCACUUUAAGAAGGCUCCCAUACCAUUUAGAUACCCCCUCCGGUGGACCCGUGAUGAAUACUUGACAUUGCCAACCGAGGAAUGAACCGUCACAAAGCUAAAAACUUUGUUUGAGCAUCAACGUUAAACGUCCACAUGUAGAUGUAAUGUUUAACUUUUGAUGAAUGAGAAGCCAACCUCUAUCCCGUGACGGUGAUUGUCUUGGCUAAUUUUCACAAUUCCAUUCUUCUUGACGGGAUUCGUACUCUUAUUUUUAGUGCCAUUUCUUACUAACCUUCUCUUGGCUGCAACAAUUAAAUCUCUGCCAUUUUCUUAUAAAAGAAGACCAAUGAAAUUGAGUGGAACGGUUUAAUUAGUCGACAAACUUUCAAAUUAGACAAAAAGUGACUAAUUUGCUCGACCGUUUUGGUCUACGGAAUUCAAAACAUACCAGCAUGUUUAAGUCUACAUUAGGCCUAGUAGCUAUGCGUUUUGAUCUCAAUAACCGUUCUGACUUCCAAGAAGCUUGUUUAUAACGAAAACAAUUGUAAACCCCAGAUACCAAAAUCAAAUGUAAAAAGAAAACACAGAAGCACGAAUAGUUCGACAUUGGAGUUUAUAGGAUUAUCAUCAUUUUAAAUUUCCACCUUUUUUUGUGUGCGUGAUAGAGCUGUGGGCAAUGGAAGAUCGAGAAAGUGAUUGCCUUGUCCACAAGGCCAGAAAAGUGGAGAUAGCUGGCGCACAUUAGAGAUCAAAAGCAACCUCUGGUAGUCGAUGAGUGUGACACUGGAUCUUUUUUAGGUAUGCUAGUGUUGCAUGAGAGCAUGAAAAGGAAGUAUCAAAUGUCAUCAUGAUUGGAGAAACCUUUUGAGGUAAAUGAGUGCUUUUUCAUGCCUAAUAUAUUAAUGGUCAAGAUAAUGGGUGGUGUCUCAUCGGAUGAUAUAAAUUGUAUGGCUUUCUUUUUGUGUGAUGCGCUAAUGGCGAGACUUAAAACAUGCCUCAAACUUGUACUAAUGAACGAAAUGAACUUUGAAUUACCAUCCCAUAUAGGAGCGAUGCCUAUGAGAGCUCUUUUUUCAUGCAUUUGUGUGGAAGUUUCUCCUAAUCUUGCGACCUUUCUUGAAAUUCAAAUCACUUGUUCAUCUUGUUGUUACGGAAAAUUCAUAAUGAAUUGUCGACGAGCAAUAAUGGGUCAAUAACAACAACAGUGUCAUAAGAUGACUAUCAUAUGAGGUUUUGAAGAGUACGACGCAAUGUGUUUUCUUUAGGAAAAAGUUCAAUUUACUCUCGAGUAUAGCCAAAAUCUGAAUGACCCCCUAAACUAUAACUUGGUUAAAUUUACCCCUAAACUAUGCUAUUUAGUUUAUUUUACCCCAUAAUACAAUUUAUCUUUUUUUCUCCAUAUACAAGUUGAAUUUUAAUUUUAAUUUUGCAGGGUAGUAGUGGACAUCACAAUGCAUAUUUGAAAAAUUAUUAUAAUUUUUUCAUUGUUAUUUUUCAUAUAAUUCGAACUCCAAUGAUUAAUUUAUUAUUAAUGUCCUAACCUAUCAAAAUAAUGACAAAAAUUAUGAUGUAUUUUUUCUAACAUAUUUAUAAUGUGCACUAUCAUGUUGUAAAAUUUCAACUUAAAAUUCCACCUAUGCAUGGAGAAAUAAAAAACACAAAUUGUAUUAGUGGGUAAUUUGAAUCAAAGCCGUGUGGAUCGAAACGUAUAGUUUAGAUGGUUAUCCAGACUUUGGCUUUAACUGAGAGGAGUAAUUUAUAUUUUUUCCCUUUUCUUUAAAACGGGAAAGCCGUGUGGAUCGAAAUCGAAAGAGAGAAAUAAAAUAAGGAAAACGAAACCUCUUCUGGAAGUUUGGAACUGCGCCUAUCAAAGCCGGCAGCCAGUGAAGGCCGAAGCCGGCCCAGCGGGGCCCACGCCCCAGUUCCCACACGGCGGCGGCCGCGCCCGCCAUUUACUCCGCUCCGACGUACUCCUCCCCCAACUCCUGAGCUGUCGAUGACAGCCAACCCCAUUGACUCCCGACACCCACAGCCGCGCUUACCCGCGCGCCCCCGACACCCGGGACCCACCAUAUUAACCCCCUGCCACUGCCACCUGGGCCCCGCCGCGUUUCCCAUCCUACUCUGCUCUGUCCCCCCCGCGGCCGUCGUCUCCCCCGUCCAAUUCCGAAUUCCACUGCCUGCGCUGGCCCCCCUCUCUCUCCUCCCUGUCCCUGCUCGCUCUCCCUCGGAUCCCACGCGGCUGCUGCUGCUGCGGCGGCGGUGGCGGAGGCUUGGGCUUAGGGUUUAGCGCGGGGAGGAGCUAGGGUUUUGGUGGGAGGAGGAGCGGAUGGGGACGGCGGGGAAGGGCGCGUGGGUGGUGCCAGCGCCGGCGUACAGGGAGGUGGAGGGCUGGGAUGGCGUGGGGGAGGACGCCCCGGGCUUCAGGUGCGGCCACUCGCUCACCGCCAUCGCGCCCACCAAGGGCCACGGCCCGCGGCUCAUCCUCUUCGGCGGCGCCACCGCCAUCGAGGCCGGCGCGUCCUCGGGCCUCCCCGGCAUCAGUUCGGUGCUCCCUUCCUCGCAUCAGCUAAGCUUUGAGUUUCAAAUUCUGGUUGUGCUGGUCUUGUGCGUGUGAUCUGAUGGCGGCGCUGUUUGGGACUGUAACUGAAGGACUCGCGGGGGUGACGAACUCGGUGCACUCGUACGAUGUGGAUAAGCGGAGGUGGACAAGGUACGCGCGGCUGCUGCGUGUUAGAAUUUAUGCUUCUUGUUUCAUAGAAGGCGGAAAUUCAGCUCAAUUUCGAGUUCUACUCCUAGUUCGGAGCUUCCUGGUGGACAGUUUCGUAGGUUCUGUAUGUAUGUACGGGUUCUGACAAUAAUGCAUUAGUUUUUGUGUUAAGUGCAGUGAAAUCUCCAUGCUAUUUUCGAUCCUGCUCGCGAUUGCAUAGAAUUGUAUGCUUUGCAUCCAUGUUUGGUGCUUGUUAUUGCUUGGUUGUCUGGAAUGCAGCCCAGUUGCAACCACCAACAUGUUAUUAUUUUGCUUAACAUAAUUUUCUUUUUGAAAUGGAUGAAAUGGAUUCAAAUACUUUGGUUAAAUUCUACAUUCUGCAGGUUGCAUCCCGCUGGAGAACCUCCAUCACCUAGGGCCGCACAUUCUGCAGCCGCUGUGGGCACCAUGGUUGUUUUCCAGGUAUAAGAAACUUGGGGUCUUCGAGUUCCGUUUUGGCGCCAACUUAGUUCAAGUGUGACUGAUGCAGUGUUGGUACAGGGUGGCAUUGGACCAGCAGGGCAUUCGACGGAUGAUCUCUAUGUCCUUGACCUCACAAACGACAAGUUUAAAUGGCACAGGUUAGGUUAAAGCCAAAUAUACUAUAUUUUGCUUGUUUUUCUAUGUGCUUUCCUUUUUUGCUUUUUUGUCGGAUUGCGGUCUAAUUUUUCCAUUUCUGGCACUCACUGCAGGGUUGUGGUUCAGGGGGCUGGUCCUGGUCCUCGCUAUGGUCAUUGCAUGGAUUUGGUAGCUCAACGUUAUCUUGUCACCGUUUCGGGAAAUGAUGGUUAGCUCUUUCAUGCAAAUCACCCUUAACUAUAUUUCUGCAAUAAUUAUGACGCAUUACACUUAAUAUUUUCCUAAGGCCCUUUUAUUUGAUUAGUAACUCAUUUUAACUUUCCUUUUCCAAUACGUCUUUUUCUGGAUUGCAUUAAGAGAUAAGUAGAGUAAUAUUGCGGAACUACAACAUUUUCCAUAUUAUUGUUGAAAAUACUUCAAAAGAUCUGGUGUUGUAAACUAAGACAACCAAUCUCAAGCAAUGCUCUUUUGUAGCGUUAAGCUCUGUUGGUCAGUUACUGCUCUCCAGGGUAUGUGAAUACAUGCAUCAUUUUCCCAAUAUAACAACAGUUUUGAACAAAAUUGCACUAAGAAUGUAAAAUUAGCUAUGGAAAUUUCACUAAUGUAUGGUUGAAAUCGAAAAAAAUCAAGAAACGUUAAGUAAUAUGUUUUUGGAUGAAGGUGCUUAAAAAAUAGAUACAUGAUAUUUCUGUAUUCUGGUUGCCAGUAAUAAAACUAUGAUCUACUUGCUACUCAUGAUUUUAAAUUUAUAAUUCAGCUUAGCAGUGUUACUCUGUUAUCUGUUUUACUUAUCAUGUAGCCUGAAAUCCUGAACAAUCCUAAAAUGCUUAUUUCUUGCUUCUAGGUCUCGAGGUCAGCGUUUUUUAUAUAAUUUUCUGAUCCAUGUCACAUCUUGUGCAGGAAAGCGGGUCUUAUCAGAUGCUUGGGCUUUGGAUACGGCACAGAAACCAUAUAGGUGGCAGAAACUUAACCCUGAGGGCGAUAGACCUUCAGCAAGAAUGUAAGUUGAUCCAUGUACUUCAGGGAGAUGGAUGAUGAUCUCCAUGUUCUUUGUUAUGCAUAUUAUCUCCUUUGAAUUCUUCUUAGAAUGUUUGUUGACAUUUUUGCCACAUCUUUUGAGUCUAUCCAUCCAAAAUGUUAAAUGAUUGGUAGAGUUAGAUUGCACCGGACAAGUUAUUGGCUUAUUGCAGAUUUUAUACUUUAACCUGUGCAAACUUAUCUACCUUCCAGCCCCUACCUUUUGGAGAUUGUUGAAUAUUUUCUGUACUUCUAACAUUAUAGAUGAAUCCUCUCCUAGUAAAAAAAGGGAAGGAAAGAAAAUUGUAUAUGUGGGCAGUGUGAUACUUAUUUCGUUCUAAAAGAAUUGUAUGGUACUUGUUGAGGAAAGUCAUAUCUGCACUAAAUAAUUGCUAUGGAUCAUAUGCUCAGUGCAAUAGAUGAUUGUUCUAUGCUGUAAAUGUGACGUUAAGUUGGCACUCAGUGUCUUACCCUUUUAGGCAUUAUGUCUGCAUUGAAUUCUAAAAAAGUAUGCAAUGUCUUACUUUUAGCUGCUUCUAAAUCACUACAGGUAUGCUACUGCCAGUUCACGUUCCGAUGGCAUGCUUUUACUUUGUGGUGGAAGGGAUACUUCUGGAACGGUACGUUCCUUGUUCUUUUGUUACUGUUUCUGCAAGAUUGUGUUAUUUACUUAUUUAGGCUAUUUUAUUUGUUAUGAUAUUAACUGCCAAUAUUUACCUCAGCCUCUGCUGACCUGAGAAGGUUAUAUGUUUAUACAGUAAAAACGAAGAUCCCCAACAAAGGCUUACGCAAUGCUUUUAUAUGAUAAAAAAAGGAAUUAUCCCUUCAGUAGUUUUCCUGCAUAUUUUCAAAUUACAUUAGUUGUAAAGUCUUCUGUUGUAAUGGUAUAUCAUUGGAGUUUGGAUGGGAAAGCACUUGGAAACUGAAUGCAAAAUUUGCUGAGUUACAUGCCAACGAAUUGAAAUUAGAGAAAUACCAUUGCAAGGUAGUUCAAUUGCUAAAUUACAUCGCCAUCAUUGCUCUUUUAAUGGAAAAUAAUUGUGAGUAAAACAAUGGUUUUGCGCUGCUUGUCGUGGAACUUGGCCUGCAGUGAGUUUUCUAGUGCAUGAUGGUUUAGGUGUAGUCUAUGCUGUUCAUGCUGUUCAAAUGGGACGCGGUAGCACAUCAAUGCAGUGGAUUCACGCUUGGGUUAAGAAGGCUUUACCUUGUUAAUCAAAUUAGCUACUUCCUUCAUUUUUCAUUCAAAAAAAAAAAUCUGUUGAGAUUUAUUUGAUGAUAAUUGCAAUGCAUUUGCAGCCACUUUCUGAUGCUUAUGGACUACUGAUGCAUACCAAUGGCCAGUGGGAGUGGACUCUUGCUCCAGGGGUAUCUCCAUCUCCAAGAUAUCAGCAUGCAGCUGUAAGUUAUUACUUAUUACCUAUAUCAUAUGUGCAAGCUUUUUUGUUAAAAAAAGUGCAAGCUCAAUAACUUGUUUUGUAUAUGACAAUCCAUGCCCAGCUGAUCUGGAGAAUUUUAUCCUGAUAGAACCUGUUCAUUUCAAAAGUGUAUUUAUUUGUUCUUGACAAUGAUUCCUUCCUUCUUGCUCCACUUAAUUCUGGCAUGUUAGUAUGCUUUGCUUCUGAUCGUCUUAAGCUCUAGGUUUUUGUUGGUGCUCGGUUGCAUGUUACUGGAGGUGUCCUUAGAGGAGGGAGAGCUAUUGAAGGAGAGGGCGCAAUAGCUGGUGAGCUUAUGCUUUUGCUCCUUCUACCUCCAUAUAUAUCUAUUUAUCUCUUGGUCUGACUAAACCUCACUUUCUGAAGUCCUCGACACCGCUGCUGGAGUUUGGUUGGAUAGAAAUGGCAUUGUGACCUCUCGCACUUCAAAAUCAUCUAAUGAGCAUGAUGCUUCUUCGGAUCUACUUCGUCGAUGUCGUCAUGCAGCUGCCUCUGUCGGUACUCAGAUAUACAUUUAUGGUGGACUGAGGGGAGGUAACUAGCCAUUUUUGGUUGUGCUCUGCCUUGUUUUGUAUUGGUUCAUCGGAAAUUCAGAGGAACUUUUUCUAUUGACACCAUGGAAAUUGUGUCUGAUCUGUAGUUUCCUUUUCCUUUUGUUAUCAGAAGAUGGAGUUAGCGUACUGAUGUUUGUUUUUCAAUGGAGUGGUUUGUCACUUUGUUGUGUUUAGUGACUUAGUGUAGCCAGCCAACAAGUAUUUGGAUGCUUAGAUUCGUAGUAUGGUAGAUUCUUACAGCACCUGCCAGAUUUCAUUUAAAUUACUGCAGCAUUAUUGUAGCAAACUUCUGAAUAUCUGAUAUCAGGUAAUCAUAGGACCUCCUAUGUUUAGCAAGCCACUGAUAUUUUAUUAGCAAAUGGUUGAGCAGAUGAGUAAUUGAUCUGCUUGUUGUUUCAAUCAAUUGUGCUGUUAGGUUUCAGUGACCAAGUCUAGAUCAUCCCUAAUGCAACUUUUGAUGUGAUGGUCAAUUUACCAUCAACUUUGUGCCUCUCAAAUCUAAUAACAUUAUUCUCUGACAGAUAUCCUCCUUGAUGAUUUCCUUGUUGCUGAGAAUGCACCUUUCCAAUCAGAACUCACUUCAUCUAUGUACAAUGCUGAUAGAGUCCCACGGGGGGAAUCUCCAAAUAGAAAUCAUAAUUAUUACUCGGAUUCAUCUGUUCAACAAUCUUCAAAUAACAGGCAAGACGCAGAUUCUGGUUUUAAGUUUCUGACUCACAUCUUUGGUGCUUGUAGAGGUUUCGUGUUUUUGACUUUGUGAAAGCUAAGUGAGUUCACACUGAUUUCAGCACGGACAAAAAGUCAAUUGACAUGUUGAUAGAGGCCUCAACUGCGGAAGCUGAAGCUGUAAGCGCUGUAUGGCGAGCUGCUAAGGAAGCAUCUGCAGCAUCUUCAGAAGACAGUCUUUCAGAGGGAAUAGGAUCUGAGUCCCCACUGAGUGAAACUUCGCCAAUGCCUGAAGAUUUUGAUGAUGGGGGCUCCCUAGAACCUGAUGUGAAACUACAUUCUAGAGCAGUACGUAUUCUGAUGAAAAUUCUUUCCACAACUUUGCCAAUACAAAUGUGUUCAAUUAUAAUAGCCAAUUACCCAAUUAGGAACUAAUUCAGUCUAAUAUAAUAGUCCUCUGCAAUUUUCUAGGCUUUAGCAAUAUUUGAAUGAGAUUCCAUUCAUGCUUGACUGUUUUACCCAAAGGUUUCUGUAUGAUUUCCUUGCAAAUACAGUUGUUUUCUUCAUAUAAGCUUUUUGCUUUCUUAAUUUCUGGUCAAUACAAUUUGGUGACCCUGAACUCCUGAUCUUCGUUUUUGAAGGUUGUAGUUGCUAAAGAAGCAGUAGGAGAUUUAGGAUGCUUGGUCAGACAGCUUUCACUCGAUCAAUUUGAGAAUGAAAGCAGACGAAUGCACCCUUCAAGCAAUGACCAAUCUUAUCCAGGCAGGAGAGCAUUAAAUAGACAACGAUCGCCACAAGGUUUGCAUAAGAAGGUAUAUACUGAUUUUGAUUUCUCUCAAGUAUGGGGGGAACUAUGUGUUCAUACUCUCUUUUGUUGCAGAUUAUUUCGUUCUUACUUAAGCCAAGGAAUUGGAGAGCUCCUGCUGAUAGAACCUUUUUCCUUGACUCUUACGAAGUUGGCGAGCUAUGCUAUGCUGCUGAGCAGAUUUUUAUGCAAGAGCCAACUGUUUUACAAUUAAAAGCACCAAUUAAAGUAUUUGGUGAUCUUCAUGGGCAGUUUGGCGACCUAAUGCGCCUUUUCGAUGAAUAUGGUUUCCCAUCAACUGCUGGUGACAUAACGUAAGUAGCACCUGAAGUUCAUAUCCCUUUUGAACGUACAUUCGAAGCUAGUGAACUAUGAUUUUUCUGCGCACUAUCUUUGUUUUUGUAUUGAACAGUGUGGGCUUCUGGUCAUCCGUUAAUAUUAUCACUAUUAUUGAGGCCUUGUAUAUUUACAUUUUCUCUGUCUCUUUCUUUUCCUUUUUUAUUGGUGGCUCAUGUUGGGUUUCCUAGCCUACCCUAAGUCCUUUACUUCCUUGGGACUAAAAGGCUUUGUGUUGUAUAUUGUGGCCGUGUUCUGCCAUGUAACUUGUCCUUUUCUUAUGUAAUAAAUUUGCCUUGUUAGGUACAUUGAUUAUCUCUUCUUGGGAGACUAUGUUGACCGAGGCCAGCACAGCUUGGAAACAAUAACUUUGCUUCUUGCUCUUAAAGUUAGUACCGAUUCCUGAAAUGUCUUUGCCAUUGCUGGAACCGUUAUGUAUAAAAUUUAGUUCUGAUCUUUUGAGAAACAUUGCAGAUUGAGUACCCGGAAAAUGUGCACUUAAUCAGGGGAAAUCAUGAAGCUGCUGACAUCAACGCUCUUUUUGGCUUCCGUCUUGAAUGCAUUGAGAGAAUGGUAGGCAUAACGGUGCUACGUGUAUUUAUUUGAAUGAAAAUAUUGGAUGCAUUAGUUGAAUGAACCCUUUGAUGUAGGGUGAAAGUGACGGGAUAUGGGCUUGGACAAGAUUCAAUCAACUGUUCAAUUAUCUCCCACUUGCUGCCAUGAUAGAAAAGAAAAUAAUUUGCAUGCAUGGUGGCAUUGGAAGGUCAAUAAACACCGUGGAGCAAAUUGAGAAACUUGAAAGGCCUAUUACAAUGGAUGUUGGGUCCAUUAUCCUCAUGGACCUCCUAUGGUACUUGGUGGCCCUUUUUAUGGUGUUCUUCACAUUUAUCUAUAGCACGACUACGAACACUUUUUUCUUGUGUAAGUGCAGGUCUGAUCCUACAGAAAAUGAUAGCGUUGAGGGUUUGAGACCAAAUGCACGAGGACCUGGCUUAGUGACAUUUGGGGUAUGACUUCAUGAUUAUUCUGUUGCUGUAGAAUUCCUGAUGUUUGCCUUUUCUUAUUACUUUAUCAAGUGCUUGCCAUUCCAGAUUAAAUAUUAUGUUGGCUCUUCUUUUUUAAACAAUCAAUCUUAUCGCUGGCUCUGUUGAUCAAACUUGUUUCCUGUUAAAUUUUCAGCCUGAUCGAGUAACAGAGUUCUGUAAGCGAAACAAAUUGCAAUUGAUCAUAAGAGCCCACGAGUGUGUUAUGGAUGGGUUUGAGCGUUUUGCUCAUGGGCAAUUGAUCACUUUGUUUUCAGCAACUAAUUACUGUGGUAUGUAUCUUGCAUUCUUGCACCUUGCUCCAUUUUAAAAGCAUGUAUCUUUUUUCUGAAAUCUUUACUGCAACAGGUACUGCGAACAAUGCCGGGGCCAUACUUGUGGUUGGCAGGGGCUUAGUUGUUGUACCAAAGUUAAUUCAUCCACUUCCACCGCCUGUUAAUUCACCUGAGUCCUCCCCUGAACGUGGGGAUGCCACAUGGAUGCAGGUCAGGAUUAAUCCAUUUCUCCUUUACUUCAUAUUUUGUGAGGGAAUAUGAGGAUUGACAUGAUUGCCAGUAAGAAUAUUUUUACCAACAACACUAGGCUCUACAUUCCUGUCCUGGCACUGUAUAAAUCGUCAUGAGCUAUUCUUGUCUUCUGUUGCGGGUUGGGUCUAAUAAUAGGUUGACUUACAAUAGACUUGGAAUUCUGAUUUUCUGUAGGAACUUAACAUUCAGCGGCCACCUACUCCAACCAGAGGGCGGCCACAAGCUGCUGGCGACAGGAAUUCUCUCGCUUACAUAUGAUACAUGACAGAGCCACCUCAAGCUUCUGGAUCUGUUGUUUGUAAUCAGAAAUUUGUUGGCAGUUUCAAGGUACAUAUGGUAUACUCCAGAAGAACAAUCAACCAAUCAACAGGACAUCAUGAAUACAAUUGUGAAAAGUUUCCUGAUAGUCCAUUGUGAUGCAUCGGUGUUAACUGUAGUUGAUGUGGUACCAUGAUUUGAUCUCCUCAUUGGGAAGCUACAUAAUAACAGUUCAGAUCAGCAAGUGACAUUAUAUGCUUCCCAACCUGAAUCGGUCUCUCUGUACUACAUUGUUUGGAUGGGAAGAAUGUGAUAGUGAUAUGAUGGAUAAUAAUCAAGUCUGAUGUAGUUUGCUGUAAUAGCUCACCUGUAAUUGUAGUGUACAUGGCUAGAUUGUUGUUAUUGCAGAGUAUAAGAAGGCUUUUUCAAUGUGUUUGUAUACCAUGCCCAGUGUCAGGGCGCUGUUUAAACGCAACAGCUAUACAACUUAUCAGAUUCUGAGUUUAGAUUGGCCUGGGAUUUGAGGCUCUUCAUCUGCUCUCUGAGGAGCAUGAAUGUUGUAAUUUAAUGAUUGAAUUUACAUAGGUGUCAAUGUAAUAAACUAAUUAAGUUGUGCUCAAAUUCAGUGACUGCUUGGAGUGACCCAGAUGAAAGGUGCUGAACUGGUGAUUUCGCCUCUGUGCACGGUGUGGGAGCGCGAGUGCGUGUUGGGGACGGACUUGAUUUUCCAUCCAGAGACCAAAACGAACAAAAGAUAACACUAUUAUCUUCAAAUCUCCUCUCAGAAUGUUCAUGUAAAAAGGAAAUAAAAAGAAAAAUGUUCAUGGAAAAGGAAACAAGGAGAAAAUAUUCAUGUUUAAAAAAAGAAAAUAAAAAAGUUCAUGAAAAGAGCAAACAAGAAGUAAAAAAAAUAAAUCGCUAGAAGGAGGGCUCGGAACACCUCCGACCUUGUGGUUGACAGCCACACGCUCUGGCCAACUGAACUAUUCCAGCUUUUGUUAGGCGGCUUGCCC